GGGAAUAACAGUUAGAAAUGACUGCUAAUACCGCAUAACAUGGCGAUACCGCAUGAUAUUGCCAUCAAAUAUUUAUAGGUAUGAGAUGGGCCCGCGUCUGAUUAGCCAGUUGGCAGGGUAAUGGCCUACCAAAGCGACGAUCAGUAGCCGGCUUGAGAGAGUGACCGGCCACAUUGGGACUGAGACACGGCCCAAACUCCUACGGGAGGCAGCAGUGGGGGAUAUUGCACAAUGGGGGAAACCCUGAUGCAGCGACGCCGCGUGAGUGAAGAAGUAUUUCGGUAUGUAAAGCUCUAUCAGCAGGGAAGAAAACAAUGACAGUACCUGACUAAGAAGCCCCGGCUAACUACGUGCCAGCAGCCGCGGUAAUACGUAGGGGGCAAGCGUUAUCCGGAUUUACUGGGUGUAAAGGGAGCGUAGGCGGUGCGGCAAGUCAGAAGUGAAAGCCCGGGGCUCAACUCCGGGACUGCUUUUGAAACUGUCGGACUGGAGUGUCGGAGAGGUAAGUGGAAUUCCUAGUGUAGCGGUGAAAUGCGUAGAUAUUAGGAGGAACACCAGUGGCGAAGGCGGCUUACUGGACGAUCACUGACGCUGAGGCUCGAAAGCGUGGGGAGCAAACAGGAUUAGAUACCCUGGUAGUCCACGCCGUAAACGAUGAA
RNAcentral lists this ribosomal RNA (659 nucleotides) under uncultured bacterium. Its description in RNAcentral is "bacterial SSU rRNA". It matches the Rfam family "Bacterial small subunit ribosomal RNA", at positions 139 to 813 of the family's 1533-position model. The record is from RNAcentral.